This 425-nucleotide ribosomal RNA is filed under the name uncultured bacterium. Its description in RNAcentral is "bacterial SSU rRNA". It matches the Rfam family "Bacterial small subunit ribosomal RNA", at positions 357 to 774 of the family's 1533-position model. The record is from RNAcentral.
GGGAAUUUUGGACAAUGGGCGAAAGCCUGAUCCAGCCAUGCCGCGUGAGUGAAGAAGGCCUUCGGGUUGUAAAGCUCUUUUAGUCGGAAAGAAAGAGUUGCAAUGAAUAAUUGUGAUUUAUGACGGUACCGACAGAAAAAGCACCGGCUAACUACGUGCCAGCAGCCGCGGUAAUACGUAGGGUGCGAGCGUUAAUCGGAAUUACUGGGCGUAAAGGGUGCGCAGGCGGUCUUGCAAGUCAGAUGUGAAAGCCCCGGGCUUAACCUGGGAAUUGCGUUUGAAACUACAAGACUAGAGUGCAGCAGAGGGGAGUGGAAUUCCAUGUGUAGCAGUGAAAUGCGUAGAGAUGUGGAAGAACACCGAUGGCGAAGGCAGCUCCCUGGGUUGACACUGACGCUCAUGCACGAAAGCGUGGGGAGCAAACA